This 42-nucleotide non-coding RNA is filed under the name Cypovirus (cytoplasmic polyhedrosis viruses). The record is from RNAcentral. Lineage: Riboviria; Orthornavirae; Duplornaviricota; Resentoviricetes; Reovirales; Spinareoviridae. RNAcentral also lists the same sequence under 1 other name.
AAAAAAAAAAAAAAAAAAAAAAAAAAAAAAAAAAAAAAAAAA